UGCAGAGUCGAGAGCUCUGUUCAUCCAAGCUGGAUAUACAGCAUCAAUGAAAAAUUAACCUUCGUGGUUCAUUACUGCAGCAUAACCUAGCUAAGGUUGACUAAGACAGGUGAACAUGUUUAAAUUGAAUAUUAAAAUCUGAGAAGGGUUUCCUUGUGGAUAAAAGGCAGUGCCCCUUACCAGCAGGAUCACAGACACAAGUAUUCCAUCCACUAUCUUGGACCAGAAGUGAGGACUGUCAUUAUCUUUGCAUGAAAAUUUGGGAGGAUGACUGAAGUUCUUAUCCAUAUGAAAGCCAAGAUUGAGUCCUACUGCAUGAGUUAGCUUUACCUGUGCUCCCAAUAGCUGGAGGAGGUCCACAACCGCUGAAAAAGUGGCCUAGUGACAGAAGUGACUCACCCACUGACAUAAACAAGACCAUGGUAACACGAGUUGGUAUUGAAUGAAUGGAAGUCAGUGACCCUCCUCACAUCACAGAUGAGGAAUCAAAACUGAGAGGAGAGGGCCCUCACUCAGAGUCAUGGGACAAGACCUGUACCAGGUAUACAAUCAAGUUCUCUGCUAGAGACUAAGUUCUUUUUUGUAUUCUGUUCAAAAUUUAAUAAAUCAGUUUACCUUGGAUGCUUCAGAGAUGCACGCUGCCUGCAUGUUUGCACUGCCUGGGAAAGACAGGAGAAAGGCCUUUGCCUGGUUCCUGUUCUAAAAGAGAAAAUGAAGCUGAGAUGUUAACAGACAUCCCCAAGGCCUAAGUGGUUGAUGGAUCCAGUCAAAGGUAGCCUCUCGCUCUGAAUCUGUAUUUUCAGUUAUAACCAUAAAGCACAUAGGGACCCAAACUUAGAGAAUAAUAUUAAGUAACCAUAAUAUCUUUUGUAUUAUUCCUAUUUAUUAAAAACACCUACAGUGUUUGAGUGUUAAGCCUGUUUGUUGUCUAGAUGGAUCUUUUGAUGAUGUUUAGAAAACGCCCAUCUAUUACAAGAUUAACUAAUUACAGUUCAUUAGAAUGAAAGUAUUAAAAACAUCUGAAGAGAUCAUAUGAUUUCUCUGUUAUUUCAGUUACAAGUGUGAAAUAUGAAUGGCCUUCCAACUAUCAAUCCUCUCUAUACUUCCAGGUUAAUACUUCUUGGUCAUGGCGGGUUACUUUUUAAAAAUUUUUUGUUUUAAUUUUUUAUUUUGAAAUUAUUAUAGAUUCACAGGAAGUUACAAAAGUAGUACAAAAAGUGGUCCCAGGUUCAUUCACCUAGUAUCGCCCAGUGGUUCCAUCUUACUUAACUAUAGGAUAAUACCAAAAUCAGGAAAGUUGCCCUUGAUACAAUGUGUACAAGUUGUUCUCUCUCUUUAUAUACUUCCCCAAUAUUUUUUGGUGAUUUUUGUUGUUGUUGUUGUAAAGUAUACCUAACAAAAAUGAUCAUUUUAGCCAUUUGUAAAUUGUACAAUUCAGCAGCAUUAAAUACAUUCCCAAUGUCAUAUGACCGUCACUACCAGCCAUUUCCAGAACUUUUUCAUUAUCCCAAACAGAAGCUCUGUACCCAUUAAACAAUAACCCUUCAUUUCUCCCUUCCCACAGCCCCCAGCAACCAUUAUUCUAUUUUCUGUCUCAGUGGAUUUAUCUA
Canis lupus familiaris (dog) is the source of this 1610-nucleotide long non-coding RNA. RefSeq lists it as uncharacterized. The record is from RefSeq and is a predicted model, not a curated record. NCBI's taxonomy places the organism in Eukaryota, Metazoa, Chordata, Mammalia, Carnivora, Canidae. The transcript is spliced from 4 exons.